UAAUAAGUCAGUGGUGAAAGCCCAUCGCUCAACGAUGGAACGGCCAUUGAUACUGUUAGACUUGAAUUAUUAGGAAGUAACUAGAAUAUGUAGUGUAGCGGUGAAAUGCUUAGAUAUUACAUGGAAUACCAAUUGCGAAGGCAGGUUACUACAUAAUGGAUUGACGCGUGAUGGACGAAAGCGUGGGGAGCGAACAGGAUUAGAUACCCUGGUAGUCCACGCCGUAAACGAUGGAUACUAGCUGUUGGAAGCAAUUUCAGUGGCUAAGCGAAAGUGAUAGGUAUCCCACCUGGGGAGUACGUACGCAAGAAUGAAACUCAGAGGAAUUGACGGGGGCCCGCACAAGCGGUGGAGCAUGUGGUUCAAUUCGAUGAUACGCGAGGAACCUUACCAAGGCUUAAAUGUAGUUUGACCGCUUUGGAAACAGAUCUUUCGCAAGACAAAUUACAAGGUGCUGCAUGGUUGUCGUCAGCUCGUGCCGUGAGGUGUCAGGUUAAGUCCUAUAACGAGCGCAACCCCUGUUGUUAGUUGCCAGCGAGUCAUGUCGGGAACUCUAACAAGACUGCCAGUGUAAACUGUGAGGAAGGCGGGGAUGACGUCAAAUCAUCACGGCCCUUACGCCUUGGGCUACACACGUGCUACAAUGGACGGUACAGAGAGCAGCCACCUCGCAAGGGGGAGCGAAUCUAUAAAACCGUUCUCAGUUCGGAUCGGAGUCUGCAACUCGACUCCGUGAAGCUGGAAU
Molecule: ribosomal RNA, 745 nt
Filed under: uncultured bacterium
Lineage: Bacteria
Description: bacterial SSU rRNA
Rfam family: Bacterial small subunit ribosomal RNA
Source: RNAcentral